This is a long non-coding RNA of Lycium ferocissimum, 745 nucleotides long. RefSeq lists it as uncharacterized. The record is from RefSeq and is a predicted model, not a curated record. Lineage: Eukaryota; Viridiplantae; Streptophyta; Magnoliopsida; Solanales; Solanaceae. The transcript has 2 exons.
UUAAGUUACCUUAUUGUUAAAAAAGAAAAGAAAAAAAACUUUGAGAGAUUAUUACCCAUAGUUGGGUGACCUUCUAUGUUACUACCUCAUCAUUUUCCUCUCCCUUUAUAUUUUUAAAACAAAUUGUUUUGUCCGCAGAUUCUAACUUAUACUUGCAAUUUAAAUAGAGUAAAAAGCAAGUUUUGAAUUUUGAAUAUGAUUGAGUAUCAAAAUAAAAAAAAGGAAAAGAAUGUAUAUGAUUAGUGAUUGUUAAUAAUUGAUUUAAUUAUCUUAAUUGUCGAAUCAGAGACAACUCAACGAAUAUCUCCUAAAUGAAUGCCACUCGUCUUUUUCUCCAGAAUUACAGUUUAAGAAAAGAAGAAAGAUUUAUCCUUUUCUUUCUGACUGUAAAAAGAUUUAUCCUUUGUUCGCAAGAUAUGUUCUGUACCAUUAACCGAUCUUUGUUUUUUCAUUUUACAUCAAUAUCAUAAUAAAAUACAUUUAGCCGCUGAAGCCGCCAUUAUUGCUUCCCUGUCCCACCAUCCACCAGAGCAUUUCACUAACAACGCUUUUUUUUUUUUUGGCCCCUAACCAUUCUUUCUUGAUUUUUCAAGCUGCAGAUCUAUACACAGUUCCCCUUCUUGAUUUAACUAAACCUUUCAUAUUUCUUGGCACUCUUUCAUAUUUUUUUUCUCCAGAUUGCAUCGAUAAGGGUUUCCUGAUGUCCUGAAGUUGGUGUACAUCCAAUCAAAGUUAAAAGGCCAAG